This 274-nucleotide ribosomal RNA is filed under the name uncultured bacterium. Its description in RNAcentral is "partial 16S ribosomal RNA". It matches the Rfam family "Bacterial small subunit ribosomal RNA", at positions 523 to 796 of the family's 1533-position model. The record is from RNAcentral.
AUACGGAGGGUGCGAGCGUUGUUCGGAAUUAUUGGGCGUAAAGAGCAUGUAGGCGGUCUGUUAAGUCUGGUGUGAAAGCCCGGGGCUCAACCCCGGAAGUGCAUUGGAUACUGGCAGACUUGAGUAUGGGAGAGGAAAGCGGAAUUCCGAGUGUAGGAGUGAAAUCCGUAGAUACUCGGAGGAACACCAGUGGCGAAGGCGGCUUUCUGGACCAAUACUGACGCUGAGAUGCGAAAGCGUGGGGAGCGAACAGGAUUAGAAACCCCGGUAGUCC